GACGUAGAGAACGGAUACUUCGCCUUCCAAGCGAGAGGUUGCGGGUUCGAGUCCCGUCACGCCU
Molecule: transfer RNA, 64 nt
Filed under: Roseospira navarrensis
Lineage: Bacteria; Pseudomonadati; Pseudomonadota; Alphaproteobacteria; Rhodospirillales; Rhodospirillaceae
Description: tRNA-Ser
Source: RNAcentral